AGAGUUUGAUCAUGGCUCAGAAUGAACGCUGGCGGCGUGCUUAACACAUGCAAGUCGAACGAGAAAGCUUUAGCUUGCUAAAGCGAGUACAGUGGCGCACGGGUGAGUAACGCGUGGGUAAUCUACCUUUGAAUUUGGGAUAACACUUCGAAAGGGGUGCUAAUACCGGAUAACAUCUUUGCCAUUGCGGUGGUGGAGAUCAAAGAUGGCCUCUUCUUGAAAGCUAUUGUUUGAAGAUGAGCCCGCGUACCAUUAGCUUGUUGGUGGGGUAAUGGCCUACCAAGGCGACGAUGGUUAGCUGGUCUGAGAGGAUGAUCAGCCACACUGGAACUGGAACACGGUCCGGACUCCUACGGGAGGCAGCAGUGAGGAAUUUUGCGCAAUGGGGGAAACCCUGACGCAGCAACGCCGCGUGAGUGAUGAAGGCUUUCGGGUCGUAAAGCUCUGUCAAGUGGGAAGAAGUUGUGUAUGGUUAAUAACUGUGCACAUCGACGGUACCACUGAAGGAAGCACCGGCUAACUCCGUGCCAGCAGCCGCGGUAAUACGGAGGGUGCAAGCGUUAUUCGGAUUUACUGGGCGUAAAGGGCGCGUAGGCGGCUUGAUAAGUCAGUCGUGAAAGCCCGGGGCUCAACCCCGGAAGUGCGAUUGAAACUAUCAGGCUUGAGUAUGGUAGAGGGAAGUGGAAUUCCAGGUGUAGCGGUGAAAUGCGUAGAUAUCUGGAGGAACACCGGUGGCGAAGGCGACUUCCUGGACCAAUACUGACGCUGAUGCGCGAAGGUGUGGGUAGCAAACAGGAUUAGAUACCCUGGUAGUCC
RNAcentral lists this ribosomal RNA (816 nucleotides) under uncultured bacterium. Its description in RNAcentral is "bacterial SSU rRNA". It matches the Rfam family "Bacterial small subunit ribosomal RNA", at positions 8 to 796 of the family's 1533-position model. The record is from RNAcentral.